ACUUGAGAUAUUUGGUCACCUAUUAUCAUAUUGACUGAAUUAUUUUGAAAACAAUACGAAAUUUAUACAGGUUUAUGGUCAUACCGGACAUGUUAAAGAAUGCUCCAAUGUUCAAGCGUCUAGAUGCUAGAAUCAAGGGUAAGAGCUCAUCAAUUGGAGUUGGUAGGGGCAGGGCUGUGGCAAUGCGGGCUAAAGCUGCAGCAGCUGGCCGUGGAGCAGCACCUGGUAGGGGUGUUGUACCACCUGUUCGAAGGUAAUCUUCCCUUGGAAAACUGUAGAUCAUAACCUUCUCUCUGGAGCAUUAUUGUCAACUACUGUAGGUCAUCUGAGUAAUGUCUUCAGUUUAGGACUCCUGCUCUUGAGGCCCUUAAAACUUAAUGAAAAAUGAUGCUGCUGUUCCUGCUUAAAUUUGUUGAAAAGAAUGGGGCGGGAAAAAGGGAUUAUGUUACCUGGACUAUCACAAGCUCAGUUUUUGUAAUCUAUUGAAUAUUACUAAUUUGAUCUUUUAUGUGUUUGGAAUUUGGACAGUUUCUAUUGGUAAUGUGACCUUUUUAUUACAGCUCAGCAUGUUGAUAUGGUCUCAGAACU
This is a long non-coding RNA of Pistacia vera, 588 nucleotides long. RefSeq lists it as uncharacterized. Lineage: Eukaryota; Viridiplantae; Streptophyta; Magnoliopsida; Sapindales; Anacardiaceae. The transcript has 3 exons. The record is from RefSeq and is a predicted model, not a curated record.